CAUGCGCGAGGCCCGAGCCGCCGCUUUGGUCACAGUGACCGCCACCGUCGCCGGGGGAUGGGUCCCUGAGACUUGGCGAAGUAGGAGCCCUGUGUGAUCGUGCGUCAGAGUCGGGGCUGAGACCAGCCCUGGCCAGGGCAGUUACCAGGACGGUCUCCGGAGGCCGGGAUUCGCGGAGGGUCCACCAGCAGGAAGAAACCCCAGGAGGAAGAAACCUCAGACAGAUCGCCGGGGAGGCAGCGCGGGAUCCCAGCCUCAGGCGUGCGCGGACGGUGUGCGGCUUUGUACCAGGCUGCAGUGCAGUAGUGCCAUCUCAGCUCACUGCAACCUCUGCCUCCCGGGUUCAAGCGAUUGUCCUGCCUCAGCCUCCCGAGUAGCUGGGAUUACAGCCACAUGCCACCACACCCAGCUAAUGUUUGUAUUUUUAGUAGAUACGGGGUUUCAUCAUGUUGCCCAGGAUGCUCUUAAUUUCCUGACCUCGUGAUCCGCCCAUCUCGGCCUCCCAAAAUGCUGGGAUUACAGGCAUGAGCCACCAGAACCGGACAUGCUUUGCUUAAAAGCUAAAUAUUUUAGGCUUGUGUGCCAUUAGGCUCUGUUACAACUACUUAAUUCUGCUUUUGUAAUUCUAUAGCACCCAUUGAUAAUACAUAAACAAAUGAGCAUGAAUGUGUCUCAGUAAAAAUUUGUUCACAUAAACAGGCAGUCCACCCAUGAAGCUAUAGCUUGCUGACCCCUUGUUUAAACAAUCAAUUGAAUUCAAACAGAAAUAAAAGGAUCUUAUAUAUUUAACCAUGUUGAUACCAUUUCCAGUGCUUUUCAUUCUUCUAUGUAGAUCCAAAUUUCCUUUUGAUAUUAUUUUACUUCUGCCUGAAACAUUUUCUUUAACAUUUUUUAUAGUGUUGUUUUACUGGUGAUGAUUUCUUUCAGGUUCUAAGUGCCUGAACAAAAUCUUUAUUUCACCUACAUCUUGAAAGAUAGUUUCUCUGAGUCUACAAUUCCCAGCUGACAAUGUUUAUCUUCCAGUACUUUAAAGAUGUUGCUUCAUUAUCUUCUAAUUUUCUUUGUUUCCAAUAAAAUGUUUGCUGGC
Molecule: long non-coding RNA, 1087 nt
Filed under: Homo sapiens (human)
Lineage: Eukaryota; Metazoa; Chordata; Mammalia; Primates; Hominidae
Description: HSALNT0352504
Source: RNAcentral